This 201-nucleotide ribosomal RNA is filed under the name uncultured bacterium. RNAcentral's name for it is "partial 16S ribosomal RNA". It matches the Rfam family "Bacterial small subunit ribosomal RNA", at positions 328 to 538 of the family's 1533-position model. The record is from RNAcentral.
ACGCUCGACACCUACUGGAGGCAGCAGUGGGGAAUAUUGCACAAUGGGGGAAACCCUGAUGCAGCGACGCCGCGUGAGCGAAGAAGUAUUUCGGUAUGUAAAGCUCUAUCAGCAGGGAAGAAGAAAGACGGUACCUGACUAAGAAGCCCCGGCUAACUACGUGCCAGCGGCAGCGGUAAUACUGAGCGGGCGUGGCAAGGC